This 879-nucleotide long non-coding RNA is filed under the name Homo sapiens (human). RNAcentral describes it as "HSALNT0352702". The record is from RNAcentral. Lineage: Eukaryota; Metazoa; Chordata; Mammalia; Primates; Hominidae.
CUGAGAGCUCUCUGAAAGCAGGGUCGGCUGAGGUCACUGUUGUAUCCCCAGCUGCUAGAACAGUGCCAGGCUCAUAGAAAACUCUGGCGCUUCUAAAGGGAACUCCACCCAAGCCCAGCUCCAGCAGGAAAUACCAAAAACUGCCCCUCUGUAGUUUGGGUCAUGGCACUCUUGCAUGAAGGAAAGGAGUAACAACUAAACCGGAGAUUUUUACUUCAGUGAUGGUUGAAGCGGCACAUUCCACAAGGUAGAGAAUGAAGAAGUGAUACAGGAGCAGGGGCAGGGAAGUGCUGGGAGGAGAAGGGUGGGGUCCCUGGCGAGGGAGCCACCCUCGGGUCUGUGCCCACGGACCUAGGUGAGGACAGGCACUCCUGUUUUCACACCCAAAUGUUGCAUUUUCCAAGAUGACCCUGGCCCGCCAUGCCCCCAUUCUGUGCCUAUAAAAACCCCCGAAACCCUAGUGGGUAGAGACACAAGCAGCUGGACGUCAAGAGGAGCACACGGGCAGAACAUACUGGCAGGCUCCAGCAGACCCUGGCAGGCCAUCCACCGGUGGAACAAGGAAGCCAGAGGAAUUUGGCCGGGGUGGUUGGAGUUGAGUCUGGCUACUGAGCAACAGACUCCAGGGAAAACCACCUUCCCACUCUGUCCCCCUUCUGGCUCCCCAUCCAUCUGCUGAGAGCUACUUCCACCAUUCAAUAAAACCCUGCACUCAUUCUCCAUGUAUUUUUGUAUGUAGGAUAAAAUUCAAAACACUUAACUGUGCCCACAUGUGAUGCAAUUUUUCCGAUACACUAAGGCAAGAACCCCAAGACGAAAAGCCCUCUGUCCUUGCAAUAAGGCAGAGUGUCUAAUUGAGCUGAUUAACACAAGCCGCCU